RNAcentral lists this ribosomal RNA (332 nucleotides) under uncultured bacterium. RNAcentral describes it as "bacterial SSU rRNA". It matches the Rfam family "Bacterial small subunit ribosomal RNA", at positions 568 to 898 of the family's 1533-position model. The record is from RNAcentral.
CGCGCAGGUGGUCCUGAAAGUCGAGCGUGAAAGCUCCCGGCCCAACUGGGAGAGGCCGUUCGAAACUUCAGGACUUGAAGGCGGGAGAGGCAAAUGGAAUUUCCGGUGUAGCGGUAAAAUGCGUAGAUACCGGAAGGAACACCAGUGGCGAAAGCGAUUUGCUGGCCCGCCCUUGACACUCAGGCGCGAAAGCUAGGGGAGCGACCGGGAUUAGAUACCCCGUUAGUCCUAGCCGUAAACAAUGGGCACUAGGUGUUGUCGGUAUCGACCCCGGCAGUGCCGAAGCUAACGCAUUAAGUGCCCCGCCUGGGGAGUACGACCGCAAGGUUAAA